GGCAUGUCCAUCUAAAUACCAAGACCAGAUUUGUCUGCAGGAUCAACCAUCUGAAGAUUAGUGGUGUUCCUAGAAGACUCAAGUGGCACCAACAGAUCGGAAGCAUGAUAUCGGAAUUCAGGAUUUAUGUCCAAGAGGCAAUAGAACGGUACGAACGGUACGAUCUCCACAGUUGCACCUAUAGACAAAGAUAUGCGUCCGUUAGCUAUGUUCUAUCAACACCCUAUGAACAAACUGCUGACCUAGUCAUUGAUGGGCGGACGAGCAAGUUUAUCAAAUGGCUGGCCAAUGAUGGGGAUCCAAAGCUCAAGAUGGUAUCUAUUGUCGGAUGUGGUGGUAUUGGUAAAACUACACUUGCCAAGCUUUUCUACAACAAAUUUGGUGGACGAUUCGACUGUAGAGCUUUCAUCCAGGUUCCCCAAAAGCCUAAUAUGAAAAGGCUCUUCUGCGACAUAAUCUCCCAGGUCCAGCAAAAUAACCCCCACGAAGAUUGUAAGGAGCUUGAACUUAUUGAUAAUAUCAGGAGACAUCUACAAGAUAAAAGGUGCUGCUAUUUUCUGAAAUAAAUAUUAUUUCUUAUGUCCAAAAUUAAAUAAAAGCUUGCUCAGAAGUUAAUAUUAGAACUUACACACAAGGUACAGCAGAUCUUCUGGUCACUCAGUAAGCUAGUCUGCUCUCAUUAUAUUUCACAAACUUGAUGUAGGUGUUAUAGGCAUUUUUGACUGAAACACCAUAGAAGUGAAUAUUGGAUCAUACAAUUUAGGCACACAAAAAUACUACCUGCUAUUACAUUUAUUGAUAGUCAACAACAUUCUAGUUGCACAUUCUUUUACUCACAAGUUAGAACAUGUUUAUUAUCCUUCUUCCAGUAAAACUUGUUCCUUAAAAUCUAUUAUAUCAUUAAAACAAGCUUGAAAGAAGGCACUACGUUCAUUGUAGAGACUAGAAAUUCCCACAUUAAUCAUAAAAAAAGAAAAACAUUUUACCAUUAGAUCAUGGUGGGUCCAGAUUAUAACAGCAUAGAUUGAUUGAUAUAUUUGUAUAUAAAAUACAGUUAUAAUAGAAGUUAAGUGUUGUAUAUGAAAUCUAAGACUAUAGAAUAGAAUCUAAAAUUUAUAUGUGAAAUCCAUACCUUAUAGAAAUAGGACCUAAGAGUUGUAUAUGAAAUCUAAAUAUACUUCUAUAUAUAAUGAUUUUUUUAUAAAAAUAAAAUUUCAGAUCUAUAUAUUAAAUCUUACACUACAUGAAUUAUCUAGCUUCACGCAAAACUACGCGGGAAGGAAUACAAUUUAGAAAUAAACUGAAAUUUGGAAUAAAAUGUUGAGAGAAAGUCUAUCUAGGACACGGUAUGAGUUUAAUUAAAAUUCAAAAUAAAAAAGUUCAGAAAUUGGAAAAGGAAAUAAGACAGUUCACGUAGGAUUACAAUUUAGAAAUAAACUGAAAUAUAUAAUAAAAAUCACACAUUAAUCAGAGAAAAAGAAGAAAGAGGGUAGAACUAGGAAUAUAAUUUAGAAAUAAACUAAAAAUUCGAAAUAAAAAAUAAAAAUAUUGAAAGAAGAGUCCAUCAAGAACAUAGUAAGAGAUUAAUUAAAAUAAUAAAUAGACUAAUUGCAGAAAUUGGAAAAGAAAAAAAAAAGAGUUCACAUAUGAUUACAAUUUAGGAAUAAAAUAAAAUAUAAUAAGAAUAAAAAAAUAAGAAAUAUUGUAAUAAGAGUCUAUUCACAACAGAGUUCAUGUUGAAUUAUAAUUUAGAAAUAAACUAAAAUUCAUAAUAAAAAAGAGAAAUAUUGAAAUAAGAGUCCUCCUAGGACGCAAUACAAGAUCCAUUAAAAUUCGAAAUACGAAAUAAAAUAAAUUCUGAAAUAGAAAUAGAAAAAUAAGGGUUCAAGUAGGAAUACAAUUUAGAAAUAACUAAAAUUUGGAAUAAAAAUAAUAAAAGGAAUAUGGAAAGUAGAGAACACAAGACGAGAUUAAUUAAAAUUUAGAAUAAAUAUGAAAUAAAUUAUGAAAUUGGAAGAACAAAAAUAGAAUAAAAUAUGAAAUAAAUUCAGAAUUUAGAAAAUAAAAAUAAUAGUUCAAAUCAGAAUAUAAUUUAGAAAUAAGCAAAAUUUAGAAUAAAAAGAAGGAAUAUUAAAAGAACAGUUAGUGCAAAACACGAUACAAGUUUAAUUAAAAUUUAGAAUAAAAAAUAAAAUAAUUUGGGAAUUAGAAAAAGAAAAACAACCAAAAUUCGAACUAAAAAUAAGAAAUAUUAGGAAUGUUGUAAGAACAAUCCAUCUAGAAUACAAGAAUUACAUAUAAUAAUUGGAAAGGUAGCGGGCGAACAGUAAAGGAGUAGUGUGCUGGUGAUUGAUAAAACUCCUGAAACUAUGAAACAGAACUAUUGACGAUUGCUUCAACUAUUAGAAUCUCAACAAUGAUUAAGAGGGUGGACAAGAACUAGGCUAUGCAGGAGUAGGGUCGUGACGGUUCACAUGCUUCUACAAAGUAAAAAAGAGAACACCGGCAAGGAUCAUAUUUGAUUUUUAAAACCCAAUGACAAUAAAUAGGAGGGUGAUGGGUGGCAUUUGACGAAACUUCUAUAAACUAAAUAUAAGGUCUGAUUUUUAAAGAUCCCAUGAGGAAUGAAUAGAAACAUUGCAUGUCGCAAAUAAAGGGCGACAAAGUAGCAAGCAAGGACAAAUGGUGUGACUUUUAACAAUUAUAAAAUUGAGAACUAAUGGCGAAAAGGUUUGAUUUUUUAAAAAUCCUAGGACAAUGAGAUGAUUAUAGACUAUUUAAAAAGUUUAAGAAAAUUAUGUGUAAAAGAGUUUACUCCGAUUUUAUAUGGUGCUAGCCACACAAUUAUGCGGGCCACCCAGCUAGUUUAUUUUAGUUUAGCUCCCUUCUGAUCAAUUUUAAUAGUAGCCUAGCAAAAUGUAUUUAAUAUGCAUAUAUUAUUGGCAGGUAUUUAAUUAUCAUUGACAAUUUAUCGGCUGCUUCUGUGUGGGAUAUUCUAAAUCAAGCUUUUCCAGAGUGUACUCAGCGGAGCAGAAUUAUAACAACUACAAGAAUUAUAAGUGUUGCAUUAAAUUGUUGCCUUCAUCGUUCGGAGUAUAUUUUUGAGAUGAAACCUCUUGGAGAUGAUUGCUCAAGAAAACUAUUUUUUAAAGGACUUUUUGGCUCUGAAAGGGAUUGUCCUCAUAGAUUCAAAGAAGCUUCAAAUAAAAUUGUUCAAAUAUGUGGUGGUUUGCCACUAGCAAUAAUCAUCAUAGCUAGCCUUUUGGCAAGUCAGCCUGUUGUUUCAAUGCGGCUAUGGAUACACAUUUGCAAUUCUUUAAGACCAGAUUUGUGGACAGAUUCUACUUCAGAUGGAAUGAAACAAGUACUAAACCUCUGCUACAACAAUCUUCCUCAUUAUUUGAAGAAUUGCAUGCUCUAUCUUAAUAAAUAUCCUGAGGGCUACAAAAUCAGCAAGGAUGCUUUGGUGAAGGCAUGGGUGGCUGAAGGUUUUAUCAAUGUAACAAAGGACCUUGGCAUGGAGAAAGUUGCAGCAAGAUAUUUCGACGAACUUAUUGGUAGAAGAUUCAUCCAACCUAUUGAAAUCAACUACAAUGAUGAGGUGUCAUCCUGUACAGUUCAUGACUUGGUACGCGAUCUAAUUGCACAAAAGUCUGCAGAUGAGAAUUUCAUAGUGAUAAUAGAUGGUUAUCGAAAGAAUGUGGGGCUCAUUGAUAAGGUUCGACGACUUUCUGUUCAGUUUUUCUAUUCGAAAUAUACAAAGGUGCCAUCAAAUAUCAAAAGAUCACAAGUUCGUUCACUUACCUUUUUUGGACUGUUAAGGUGUAUGCCUUCUAUUACAGACUUUAAGCUUAUUCGUGUUUUAAACCUUCAAUUAGUUGGUCAUCUCGGUGAGAACACAUUAGACCUCACUGGGAUUUCUGUACUGUUUCAACUGAAAUAUUUGAAGAUUGUGUGCGAUAUCUGCAUUGAACUACCAAACCAAAUGCGAGGGCUACAACUCUUGGAAACAAUGGACAUGAAAACGAAACUCACUGCUGUUCCAUGGGAUGUUUUCCAUCUGCCAGGCUUGCUGCAUCUCUAUCUUCUCUUAGAGCCAAAUCUGCUGGACUGGAUUGGACAGAUGAAAUCUACCAUUACACUGGAUGCGAGCAGUAACUCAUCACAGGGCAAUCUGAACAACCUGCAGGAUAUUUGUCUCAGCUGUUGUGCAUUGCCUUCUGAACAUCUACAAAGAAACAUGGAAACACUGGGAUCUUUACUUGGGGCAGUCAGCAAUCUGAAAACACUCUCUAUAGUUUCUAGCAGUAAUCAAAAUGUUGAUAUGGUUUCCGGAACCUCAGAUGCAACUGUUGCUUGGGAUUUCUUGACACCUCCUCGUUUUCUGCAGAGAUUUGAGUGGCUUCUACAUGAUUGCAUCUUCUCCAAAAUUCCCGAAUGGAUUGGAGAACUUGACAACCUCUGCAUUUUAAAUAUUGCAGUAAGGGAACUUGUCAAGAAUGGCAUUAAUAUUCUCAGGGGAUUGCCUGCCCUCACUUCUCUGUCAUUGAAUGUGCAUACAACGUCCAUUGAAAAGGUCAUCUUUGACAAGGGGGGAUUCUCAGUUCUAAAGUACUUGGAGUUCAGAUGCAGUGCACCUUGGCUGAAAUUUGAGUCGGAUGCAUUGCCUAAUCUCAGGAAGCUCAAGUUAGUCUUUAAUUCCCUCUUUGAAAAUAUACAUGGCACUGCACCCAUCAGCAUCGAACACUUGUCAUGCCUCGAGGAGAUCUCUGCAAAAAUUAGGGGUGGGGGCAAUGUAGAGUUUCCAUUAACAUCUGCUAUUAGCAAUCAUCCAGGCAACCCUAGAAUCAAUUUUCAGUUGGUGGAUGGGGUUUUUUACGGCGAUGAAGACGAAGAACAUGCAACUCCAACUAUGGGAUUGGAAGGUCGAUGUUGGGAGACGGUGAGUGGCGAUAGUGACGGUGUGGGGAGGUGUCCGCAGCCCAACCAUGUGCUUGAGAAUGUACUGCUGGAAAGCAUUCUCCAGUUCCUCACAACGGCACGUGAUAGGAACAUGGCAUCGCUAGUCUGUCGCUACUGGUACCAUGCUGAGGCGGAGACACGGCAAGAGCUCUUCAUCAGAAACUGUUAUGCUGUUUCUCCGAAUCGUGUCAUUGAGCGUUUUCGUGGCCUGCGCUCCAUCACUCUGAAGGGCAGGCCAUGCUUCGCAGACUCCACUUUAGUGCCCAAAGGCUGGGGUGCAUACGCAUCGCCCUGGGUGGCUGCUUUGGGUCCCGCAUACCCGCACCUUAAGUGCAUCUUCCUCAAGCGGAUGACGGUAUCAGACAAUGACCUCAGGCUCAUCGCGCAGUCAUUCCCUCAGUUAAGGGAGCUCUCACUGAUGAGCUGCGACAAGUUCAGUGCCACCGGCCUCGCCAUAAUUGCGGAGCAGUGCAGGCAUCUCCAUGUGCUUGAUCUGAUUAAUGAUAAAGUCGAGGACACAGUGGACAAGCAGGUGGACUGGAUCUCUAUGUUUCCCAAGCCCAGCACGUCGCUGGAGUCUCUUCUGUUCAGCUGUGUUGACACGCCCUGCAACUUUGAGUCACUGGAGGCCCUUGUCGCGCGCUCACCAGGUCUGUGCCAGCUGGGUGUGAAUCGCCAUGUGACGGUAGAGCAGCUGUGCUGCCUCAUGGCAAUCGCUCCCAAUCUAACGCACCUUGGCACGGGUGUGUUCCGGUCCAAGACUGGCUACCCUGCAGGUGAGGCCCCUCCAUCGGUGUCUGAACUUGCGACAUACUUCGCAGCAUGCAGGUCACUCCACUCUCUCUCAGGUCUCCAGGACGCCAAUCCAGAUUACCUCCCUGCGAUCUACCCGGUUUGUGCCAAUCUCACAUCCCUCAACAUCAGCUCUGCCACCUUAACAGGGCAACAGCUUGCUCCCAUCAUUCGCUCCUGUGGCAAUCUCCGGACAUUCUGUGUGCGCGACUCCAUAGGUGAUGAUGGCCUUUCUGCCAUCGCUGAGACGUGCUUAGAUCUCCAGGAUUUACGAGUGUAUCGUUUGCUUCGUGGGAGUGAGCAUCAUCUCUCAGUAUCAGAUGUUGGGCUUGAAACUAUCUCGAAAGGCUGCCAAAAGCUUAAAACCCUAACAUACUAUUGUGGAAGCAUGACAAAUGCAGCAAUGGUCAUUAUGUCCAGCAACUGCCCUAAUCUUGAGGUCUUUCGCCUCAGCAUUUUGAAAACUUAUCUCCCUGAUCGGAUCACCGGGGAGCCAAUGGAUGAAGGUUUUGGAGCAAUUGUGAUGAAUUGCAAGAAGCUUUCCAGGCUUUCGACCUCUGGUCUGGUCACGGACAAGGCCUUCGCGUACAUUGGGCAAUAUGGGAAAUCGAUCAAAACUCUGUCUGUUGCCUUCUCUGGCAAUACUGACAUGUCACUCAGAUAUGUGUUUGAAGGAUGCACUCGGUUGCAGAAGCUUGAGGUCAGGGAAUGUCCUUUUGGUGACGAGGGAUUGCUCUCUGGUUUAAGCCACUUUUGGAAUAUGAGAUUCUUGUGGAUGAGCUCUUGCAGAGUAACCAUGACAGGCUGUAGAUACGUAGCUCAGCAAAUGCCAAAUUUGGUGGCUGAAGUGAUUAGUGGCCAUUCUGGUAAUGAAGAUGUGACUGCCGAUAAUGUUGACCAUCUGUAUUUAUAUCGAUCUCUUGCAGGACCAAGGGACGACGCCCCUUCAUUUGUCAAAAUCUUGUAGUGUGUACAACCUUUCGAAGAAGAACCUUACUUAGUCCAUCACCAUGUUAAGUCAUUCCAUUAUUAAUCAAAUUCCUCUUUGUGCAAUCAGGCUGUAGAUUGUGCUUGGUUGUGUUUUUUCUUUCUGUAGCAUAUAUGAUAACAGCAGGUUCUUCCGGUAUCUUGCGAGGUUGUAAAUAUUUACUCUAAUAAUGAUGUAAUCUCAAGCUGGUUAUAAGUACAGGUCAAUAAGGGUUGUUUAUGGUGCCAAAACAAAUCUUUCUUUCAGAGCUAGAGACAAUAUAUUCAUUUGAACAUUUUCAGAAUUCCAUAGCAAUGAUUCGUGAGUGAUUCAGUCAAAUAGAGGAAAUUCCUUUUUGCAUGAUCAGUGAUCCUUGGCUGCUGGGAAUGGGAUGUCCUAAAGAAGCAAUCACUGAACCACAGUUGUAUAAGCUAGGGAAUUCCAGUUUUAUACACACGCUCCCUUAUAAAAUGAUACUAAUUGCAACCUCCAUUCAUUUUCAGACGAAUAAUUUCGUUAUAAGGUAUCUAAUGCCAACGAAAAUUUUUGGGCAGGGUUCAAAGUCAGCAUCUAUUUAGAUGCGUCACAGAACUUGUCUGGUCUGGCAUACAGACAUUUGUUAUUGUUGAUAAAUAGCUUGAAUUUUUCUGUGCAAUAUUAUUGCACGGCUCUAUUUGAAGUAGAAUUGUAGCUUCUACAUAGUUUAUUCUUUCUUUCUCUAAAAAUAGAAUACACAAUACAAUUUAUUUUUUAAUGUAUAACACUAUACGAGCGGGUCCAAGCUAACUGAAUCAUCAUGCAACCGCUUCUGAAGUCUGAACAGGAGAUGUCAGUUGCUCACCAAAUCGAAGUACUUUGGGUUGGGGAAAAUUCAAAGGUUUCACUACCGAAUAAAGCCGAGCAAACAACUGGCCAUGAAAUCGAAGCACGCAACAGAUCAAGAAAAAUCGAUCAAAUGGUUGACUCGUAGAUUGGAGAUCAGGAGGGAGCGGUGCGGGAGGUCUCUGACCUUGCAAAUGCCGACGGAGAUGGCGCGGCGGCGGCUAAGGCUGCGGCUGCGCUAGGGCGGUGGGGAGGCCGCGCCGCGCGGGAUCACGACGCCGAUGCGCCGCCGCGGCCGCGGUGGCGAAAUCGCGUGGAGGUGUACUACUGGGCUAGGUUAGAGUCAAACCUGAAUGGGCCGAGCAGGCCCGCCUAGUGGCUGAAGUAAUGUUGCUAGUAUUCUUGGGAAGAGAUUUGAUAAUUUAACACUUUUUAAAAUGGG
This 7985-nucleotide long non-coding RNA is filed under the name Oryza sativa (Asian cultivated rice). RNAcentral's name for it is "long non-coding RNA (OSAT_LNC000007)". The record is from RNAcentral. Lineage: Eukaryota; Viridiplantae; Streptophyta; Magnoliopsida; Poales; Poaceae.